CAGGGCUAAGUCUCUCGGUGCACUCUGAGAUCUCCCUGCCUGUAGGAUGAGGACUCUCCAGCUGAGCAGAUUCAGGCAUGAGAGUUGGUUCUGGAAGAGAAACUGAAAGAUUUAAUCAUGGGUAAGGACAGGCUCAGCCGACUCCAGCAGGAAGAAAACUGUACUGAAAACAGUGAACUCAUGAAUGAGAGAGAGAAGAACUGAUGCUUUGCACACAGCAAUGGCUCCGGGAAUCCUUGAAUUCUGUGAUUCAAAGAUCUCCUGAAUGGAAGACUCAGUUGGAGCUGAAAAAGCUGGCAUCACUGUCCCCCUGGAUUAAGUAGCUUGCUACACACAGCUGAAAUUCUACAACGUAAUACUGCUGUUCACAUGCUACUUGGGCAGGAUUACUUUACUAAAGCACAAAAUGGGAAUUCCAGAAAUGUCAGAAUUCUCCCCAACAUUCCAAAAAAAAACACUGGGAAGAAACAUCUUGUUCUCUGGACUGCUAAGGGAAGAGGGACCUGCACUCAGGGAUGGAGUACUUAAAGUGCUUGCUGCAAGGUGAGUGCUUGUGGGACUAGAAGAUGAUCCCACAGUUCACUUCUAACUGUUCAGGGCACGAAGAAUAUGGCACAUCUAAACAUAUUCUUCGCAGUGAGAAACACAGAGGCUGGAAUUUAAAUCUCACUGAGGUUAGCUUCUUCCCACAGUGACUUAAUUCCACCUCGAGAUUUCUGCAUCACUUCAAGUCAUCACUGCAUUUCUGCAUCACUUCAUGAUGCCAAAGAAUUAGCGCAUCUAGCCUCUGUUUUGCCCUCUCAGGGUUCUCCUCCUGCCUUGGUGCUCUCUCCAUCACUCCCUGCUUUCAACCAGGCUUGCAGUUCCCUCUUGAUAAAAUCUCCUACAGCUGCUGAAUGAGUCUGAAGGCAGCUCCUGCCUAGGUCAAUCCACAGAGAGUGGGAAAGCGAGCAGUCCCCAGGACACUGCAGGAACAAAUAUCAUUUCAGUUGAUUUCUAGCUACAGUCACCAGUGAGCAUUUUCUCAUCCCUUCAGUUUCAGUCCAAGCAAUUAAAAGGAUGAAAAGAAAUAGGAGGCUUUCUGUAAUAUAGCAUCUUCAGAAUUCUUUCCCUUGGCCAAGGUACUGAAUUUGUAGCCUAAUAAGUGGUUAAGACCUGAUGCUCCGGGGAAGGAGAGGAGAGACUCCCCCGCAACGCACUGAGCAAGAGCGAAGGGUGGUACACACGGAUGUCCCUCCUGACCUGUGCAGUGAAUGCCUUGGCACAAGUCAUAGCCACCAGCUAUUCUCAAGCGAACUUUGCUGAUGCAGACCUGUUUGGACCCAUGUCGCUAUGCCCCACCACCCCCUCACGCCUGGGCCAUACCUGUCCCCAGAUGGUCCCUUCCGAGUUCUCCACCUGCUCCCACCGCAGCCUCUUGACGCUCAUGUGGUUGGACUCGCUUCUGCGAUGCACCAGGCCCCGGUGCA
Molecule: long non-coding RNA, 1469 nt
Organism: Dromaius novaehollandiae (emu)
Lineage: Eukaryota; Metazoa; Chordata; Aves; Casuariiformes; Dromaiidae
Exons: 3
Source: RefSeq, a predicted model, not a curated record